GAUGAAAACGCAGCGAAACGCGAUAUGUAAUGUGAAUUGCAGAAUUCAGUGAAUCAUCGAAUCUUUGAACGCACAUGGCGCCUUCCAGUAUCCUGGGAGGCAUGCCUGUCCGAGCGUCGUUUCAACCCUCGAGCCCCCGUGGCCCGGCGUUGGGGAUCUGCCCAGGCAGUCCCCGAAAACCAGUGGCGGACCCGUUACAGGCCCUUCCCUUGCGUAGUAGCAUUCGCCUCGCAUCGGGAGCCGGCGGGCUUCCAGCCUCUAAACCCCCAUCAAGUCCGCCCCGGCGGCACCAAGGUUGACCUCGGAUCAGGUAGGAAUACCCGCUGAACUUAAGCAUAUCAAUAAGCGGAGGA
This 353-nucleotide unclassified non-coding RNA is filed under the name soil metagenome. RNAcentral's name for it is "partial contains 5.8S ribosomal RNA, internal transcribed spacer 2, and large subunit ribosomal RNA". The stretch from base 1 to 119 matches the Rfam family "5.8S ribosomal RNA", at positions 35 to 154 of the family's 154-position model. The record is from RNAcentral.